Molecule: ribosomal RNA, 824 nt
Filed under: Leptodactylus rugosus (rugose thin-toed frog)
Lineage: Eukaryota; Metazoa; Chordata; Amphibia; Anura; Leptodactylidae
Description: partial 16S ribosomal RNA
Rfam family: Bacterial large subunit ribosomal RNA
Source: RNAcentral
CACCCCUGUACCAAGCAAUUCUAUACUCAUAUAGAACUUUUUAUGUUAAAACUAGUAACAAGAAGAUAUAACUUCUCUUUAAUGCAAGCAUAAAUCAGCCAGGACUAACCACUGAUAAUUAGCACUGAUGGACACCCAGUAGUAACACCCCAAGAAAACCCUACUUCACUAAGUGUUAACCUAACACAAGAGCAUUACAAGAAAGAUUAAAAGAAAAAGAAGGAACUCGGCAAAUCUUAACCCCGCCUGUUUACCAAAAACAUCGCCUCUUCAAAACAAUAAGGGGGCAACCCUGCCCAGUGACUCUGGUCAACGGCCGCGGUAUCCUAACCGUGCGAAGGUAGCGUAAUCACUUUUUCUUUAAAUGAGGACUAGUAUGAACGGCACCACGAAGGUUAUACUUUCUCCUUUCUCUAAUCAGUGAAACUAAUCUCCCCGUGAAGAAGCGGGGGUAAUAUUAUAAGACGAGAAGACCCUAUGGAGCUUUAAACACGGUGACACUUGCCUAACUUAAUCCCUGGUUUCAGAAAACUAACAAUUACCCAGGCAUUAUGAUCACAAGUUUUAGGUUGGGGUGACCACGGAGUAAAAAGUAACCUCCGCAAUGAAUUUGGGSCUUCCCCUAAUCCAAGGACUACAACCCUAAGAAUCAAUAAACUGACAUCAAUUGACCCAGUAUAUCUGAUCAUUGAACCAAGUUACCCUAGGGAUAACAGCGCAAUCCACUUCAAGAGCCCAUAUCGACAAGUGGGUUUACGACCUCGAUGUUGGAUCGGGUAUCCCAGUGGUGCAGCCGCUACUAACGGUUCCUUUGUUCAACCAUU